Long non-coding RNA from Platichthys flesus (European flounder), 445 nucleotides. RefSeq lists it as uncharacterized. The record is from RefSeq and is a predicted model, not a curated record. Lineage: Eukaryota; Metazoa; Chordata; Actinopteri; Pleuronectiformes; Pleuronectidae. The transcript has 3 exons.
GCGUUCCCCCGGCGCCAUCUUGCCGGUGCUUGCUCCUCCUCGGUCCUGGUUAACGAAUCAAUGGGCAAGAGGAGGAGCGCGAGUGAAGACUGACAACCGAGCGAUGCUCGCGCAGCUCAGCGUGUCCAGGUUAGCUCAGUGCUAAGGAGCUAGGCUACAUGCUACCCGACGCUGCUAACCGGUUAGCGCUGUGCUGUAGCUGGUCGCAAUCUUUACGAACUCACUAGAGAGGGAAGUGGAGAGACUUUAUGUGGACUGUUUUCAACAACUCUGUGGGAGAUUAUCACCUUGAAUAUUACAGAUGAGAUGAAGCACUGCAGCAUCGGAUCUGUCCUCAGCAGCAACAUGAUGGAGAUCGGCAGCUUCAGGCUGGUCAUCACGAGGACGACCUGCACAAGCUUCAUCGGCCCAACACUUCACGUUUUCUCCCUCAACUAAAGAUGGC